GAUGAACGCUAGCGGCAGGCAUAAUACAUGCAAGACGAACGGUAAGCUUUGUAGCAAUACGGAGCCUAGAGUGUCGUACGGGUGCGUAACACGUAUGCAACCUACCUUUUACAGGAGUAUAGCUCGGUGAAAACCGAAUUAACCCUCCAUAACAUGACGACUGGGCAUCCAGAUGUCAUUAAAACUGCGGUGGUAAAAGAUGGGCAUGCGUUUGAUUAGUUAGUUGGCAGUGUAACGGACUACCAAGACGAUGAUCAAUAGGGGACCUGAGAGGGUGAUCCCCCACACUGGCACUGAGAUACGGGCCAGACUCCUACGGGAGGCAGCAGUAGGGAAUAUUGGACAAUGGGUGAGAGCCUGAUCCAGCCAUGCCGCGUGCAGGAAGAAGGCGUUAUGCGUUGUAAACUGCUUUAGCCAGGGGAUAAAACGCUCUGCGGAGCUAAUUGAAGUACAUGGAUAGUCA
RNAcentral lists this ribosomal RNA (463 nucleotides) under uncultured bacterium. RNAcentral's name for it is "bacterial SSU rRNA". It matches the Rfam family "Bacterial small subunit ribosomal RNA", at positions 28 to 489 of the family's 1533-position model. The record is from RNAcentral.